This 1312-nucleotide long non-coding RNA is filed under the name Brassica napus (rape). Its description in RNAcentral is "long non-coding RNA (BNAP_LNC017738)". Lineage: Eukaryota; Viridiplantae; Streptophyta; Magnoliopsida; Brassicales; Brassicaceae. The record is from RNAcentral.
AAAACAUGCAUAAAUUGAAAACAGACACAUUGUAUUCGCAAACUCUACUAACCGAUAUAUGUAUUGUAAUAUUUUUAUCUUACAAUAAGAAUCUGAACAUAUACCGAUAGAUAUUAAAGCAUUUAUAUAGAGAUGAUCAUGUUUGUCGUAUCUAUAUAGUGGUAUGAAUUAGAAGAUUUUCAACCACAAAAAAAGACAAAACUUUUCUCUCUCUCGAGCGUGCAGACAGCGAACCCCAAGAACCCUAGCUCUGGCCGCCACUGCUAGGCGUCGCCGGAGGCAUCCCCUUCCUCUCCCUUUCUCGUUUUUCUCUUUGCUUUCAUCCUCCCCGGGCUUCUCUUGGUCGAUAUGCUCGCGAUUCUGUGCUGUUGAAGACCUCUCCCGGAGAUCUCUUGUGUUCGACGGAAAAGGUUUUUGGCAUUCAAUGGAGUGGCGACGAGAUCAAGGCGGAUCGGCGGAGAUGAGAGUCGGUUUUUAGAGUUGAAAAUUUCACAGAUCCAGAUUUCUCUCUUUUGAGAUCUACGGUGGAAGAUUCACGACGUCGGCGCGUGACGAGGUGUGACAUCUCCUUCAUAACAGAUCUACCUUGUCCCUGCGACGGUGAGACUGCUGGAGGAGUGCUGCGACGGGCGGUGGAAAGGGGCUCGUUCUUCGGUUCCCGGAGACGACGUGAGGCAUGAACUCUCGACGAAGGACUUGUCAACCGGAGUGGAGGUUUCUGCUAAUGAAGCACGGCGGAGCCGUACUUCCCAGCGUCGGUGACAUCCCGGCGGUAUGAGCUCUGCACCCUUGAAGUCGUAAUCUGGUGAUCCUUGCUCGCUUUCCGACGUCAAAACCUGCUUUUCAUUUCGGGCACUCAUGCCCGAUUUAUGGCUUAGGGUCGGAAUAGUGAUGUCAGAGGGACAGGAGCUUGGUCGGUAUGCGCCAGUGGGAUGGUCAUGUUAGUACAUGUGCUGAAAGCUUAUCAUUAGGAGACUAUAGGCGGUUUAAAAAUUGGAACUGGAUUACGCUUCGAGUCUCUUUGUGUUAUUACUAUUUUCGUACUUUGUGGUCAAAUUUAGUAGGGUCUAAGGAACGGCCAUCUCGUGUCGUGAGUUGGUGUCGUUUCCGAGUGGUGAAAAAUGCAGCGGCGUUUCAAAUUAGGUAGCGUAAGAUCCAAUUUAGUGAUCUUAGGUGUUACUAGAUUUCGUCGUUUGUAUGUUGGGUUUAACUUGUGUGGUUAUAAUCAUGUAUUCAUCGUUGGUUAAUGAAAGUUGAUGUUGAGCCAAAAAAAAAAAAAAUAUAGUGGUAUGAACACCAAGAUUCUCUAGCC